Molecule: ribosomal RNA, 1158 nt
Filed under: uncultured fungus
Lineage: Eukaryota; Fungi
Description: eukaryotic LSU rRNA
Rfam family: Eukaryotic large subunit ribosomal RNA (bases 524-1158)
Source: RNAcentral
AAGUCGUAACAAGGUUUCCGUAGGUGAACCUGCGGAAGGAUCAUUACAGUGUUCGCUGCCCUCACACGGUAGCAAACCUCACCCGUGUAUAUUAUAUCUUUGUUGCUUUGGCACGCCGCCUCCGGGCACUGGCUUCUCGCUAGGUCGCGCGCGUCAGAAGACCUAAAACUCUAAAUGUUAGUGUCGUCUGAGUACUAUCUAAUAGUUAAAACUUUCAACAACGGAUCUCUUGGUUCUGGCAUCGAUGAAGAACGCAGCGAAAUGCGAUAAGUAAUGUGAAUUGCAGAAUUUAGUGAAUCAUCGAAUCUUUGAACGCAUAUUGCGCCCGGUGGUAUUCCGCCGGGCAUGCCUGUUCGAGCGUCAUUUAAACCAUCCAGCCUCGUGCUUGGGUCUUGGGCCUUUUCGCCUUUACUAAGGCGGGCCUUAAAAUUAUUAGCGGUGCCUUCUAGCUCUAAGCGUAGUCAUAUUCCUCGCUAUAGACGUUAGGUGGUCUCUUGCUACCAACUCCUUAUUUUUCAAAGGUUGACCUCGGAUCAGGUAGGGAUACCCGCUGAACUUAAGCAUAUCAAUAAGCGGAGGAAAAGAAACCAACAGGGAUUACCUUAGUAACGGCGAGUGAAGCGGUAACAGCUCAAAUUUGAAAUCUGGCUCUUUUAGGGGGCCCGAGUUGUAAUUUGUAGAAGAUGCUUCGGGUGUGGCACCGGUCUAAGUUCCUUGGAACAGGACGUCAUAGAGGGUGAGAAUCCCGUAUGUGACUGGUUGCCUUCGCCUAUGUGAAGCUCUUUCGACGAGUCGAGUUGUUUGGGAAUGCAGCUCUAAAUGGGAGGUAAAUUUCUUCUAAAGCUAAAUAUUGGCCAGAGACCGAUAGCGCACAAGUAGAGUGAUCGAAAGAUGAAAAGCACUUUGGAAAGAGAGUUAAACAGUACGUGAAAUUGUUGAAAGGGAAGCGCUUGCAACCAGACUUGCCUACCGUCGAUCAUCCUCCGUUCUCGGUGGUGUACUCGGCGGUGGUCAGGCCAGCAUCGAUUUUGGUGGUGGGAUAAAGACCUUAGGAAUGUAGCUCCUCUCGGGGAGUGUUAUAGCCUUCGGUGUAAUGCCGCCUACCGGGAUCGAGGACCGCGCUUCGGCUAGGAUGCUGGCGUAAUGGUUGUAAGCGAC